AAAAGUUAUUGUGGUGAAAUUACACAAAUCAGCUGCAACUUUGAAAAAAAAAACAUUUUUCUAAUGAAGAUAUUUCCUUCAUUUAAGUUUGUUUAUGAGACUAACUCAGAAAAGCGCAAUGAGCCGCUUUUCUCCUUCAGAAUCUACUGUAAUUAUUGUGUUAAUGAUUGAAACGUUACAGUAUGUUAAAGAUUUUGUGUUUAAACGUCACAGGCGAUGCCUCAGGUGUUAAAAGGUUAAAAUGUGUUCUCCACAUGUGAUCCAUCCAGCAGAGAACUGCAGUCUAGCGGCCCUUUUGAACUUUUACGUGGUGGAACUCCCAAUGUGUCAAACAGGUGGUGUAAUAAUGGCUUUAGUUAAAUUAUUUUAAAAAAAAAUAGUAUUUUGUUCUAAGUAAACCAUUCUCAACAUUUCGUUUUUGCAUGAAUUGUUGAAGUGAGACAUCUGUCGUUUUAGUCAAGUUUCCGCUUUAAAUUUGUGUCAGAGUGAGUGCUCUCACCAUGUAGAUUUAAUUUUAAUCGAGCGCAUUUUCACAGGAGAUGCAAAAAAAAUAAAAUAAACAAAUAAUAAUUCAAGGGACAUGCGGCCAUGUUCGUGCUGGAUAAAUUGUCAGAGUGAGACAUCUGUUCUUUUAGUUACGGUUCUGAUUUAAAUUUGUGUCAGAGUGAGUGCUCUCGCCAUGCAGUUUUAGGUUUAAUCGAGUACAUUUUCUUGGGAGAUGCAGACAUGUUUGUGCUGAAUCAACUCGGUGCGUGCGAGCGUUGGAAUUUUUCCGUCUUUAGUAUCCAAUCCUCGUCUCUGGCUCCGGUCCUUUUCCGAUGGAGUUAAGGGCCUGGACUUUGAUCUCAAACCGCUUGUAGGUACUUGUGUUUACGACCAGGAACGGUGGAGAUGAGACAUCUUCGUGUUUCCAGUUUGUUUCUGUUCCUGCCCCCUCAGCUUCUCGCCAAAAGACCCUAUAGUGGAAACUGUCGCCAUUGUGGAAGCGCUUCUCAACUUUCUGUGGUGCAAUGAUCCGGAACCGGUAUGUGCAGAACGGGCGCAGAGUGAGCUGUGUUUGGGUGUGACUUCCAGAAACUCUUUCCCACUUCUUCCAAAUGGCCUUCCCCUCUCCAGUGUGAAGUUUCUCCUCUGCCUCCAC
Molecule: long non-coding RNA, 1141 nt
Organism: Oryzias melastigma (Indian medaka)
Lineage: Eukaryota; Metazoa; Chordata; Actinopteri; Beloniformes; Adrianichthyidae
Exons: 3
Source: RefSeq, a predicted model, not a curated record